UUUGGGCCCCAAGGGGUACCAAUAGUCUUUGGAAGGGGGAAGACCUAUAUCCCAUUGGGUUCGGUCAUAAACCCACACGCGCGCGCCGCCGCCGCCGUCCGUUCGACCGGCCGGCUCGGCACAUGCCCGAGUCCGGUUCGGUGCAGGUCCGGGUCGACCUUUACACUAUAUUCACUUUUUGGACAAAAUUUUGGGCCAAAUUGUAAAUAAUCAAAUUCUUGGGUACAAAAUUUAUUUAAAUUUUGGCUUAUUCCGGGUGUUUUAUUUUCUUGUAACAGUCGACUGUUUCGACUGUUUACCGACCAAACAGUCGACUGUUAACCGACUUAACAGACACGACUUUUAAGAACAGUAUGUCUGUUCGGAUUUUUGAGGCUUGUCUGAAAGGUGAUGACUGUUCGAAUGGCCACGAACAAGUCUAUAAAUAGCCAGCCUUUCUACCAGAAAAUUUACACCAUUUUCAUUGCAAACUUUCUGUGCUUUGAAUCUCAUUUCCCUCUCUCUCGUUCUGAUAUUGUCUCGAAGUCAAAAACACUUCGUUGAGUUCGUUGGAACUCCUACAGACUGCAGUGCUGCUUCCGUAGGAGACGAAAAAUUCGUUCUAUCCUGAGAAACGAUUGCUGGACGCCUUUAGCACCAUUGAAGGCAGCAAAUUCGUUUUAAGGANN
Molecule: long non-coding RNA, 668 nt
Filed under: Olea europaea (common olive)
Lineage: Eukaryota; Viridiplantae; Streptophyta; Magnoliopsida; Lamiales; Oleaceae
Description: long non-coding RNA (OEUR_LNC011364)
Source: RNAcentral